This 6249-nucleotide long non-coding RNA is filed under the name Homo sapiens (human). RNAcentral describes it as "non-protein coding LINC02362:32". The record is from RNAcentral. Lineage: Eukaryota; Metazoa; Chordata; Mammalia; Primates; Hominidae.
GAACCCCAGCUGCAAGUGAGACUGGAAAAAUGGCUCUCAGAGUUCCCGCCUCUGCAGUAGAGGAAGACACUCCAGAAGGAGUUGAGAAUGGGUGCUGAGUGCCUCUUCAGGAUGUCUGUCACACCUCAGGAAACCUGCCAGGAAUACCAAAGGGAGUGAAAAAUCCAAGGUUGGGAAGCCCUGGGACAUUGAAGUUACAACUGGACGAUAAAAACAGAGUUUUUUCCUUGUGACGUGACCACUGUGAUGUAAAGCUGUAUCUCCUUCAUUUCAUCAAGAAAUUCUUAAAAUUCUCCCCCAACGUGCUUUCAUCUUUCCCUUCAUUGCCAACUCUGUAAGAAGUACCACGCCUUUUCUUUGAAUCUGAUUCUCCUCCAAGAAGCAAUGCUUCUCUGAGGCUUUCACCUUUGCUCACAUCAAAGCCCCCACACUGAAUAAAUACCAUCCUUACAUGCCCUUCCAGAGACUCCACUAAUGGACGAGCUUCAUCCAGCAAAAGAUAACUGGGGAAACUUCAGCAAAAGGACUGUUGAUGAAAAUUUGCUGUAUUUGAUUAUAUAGCUAAGACUAAAACAGGGAACAUGGUUGGAAUUAUACUAAGUAAAUAUGAUAUGUUCUCACAAAGUAGAAAGAAUGCAACUAACUAAUAUAGAAGAAGAGGGAAAGUAAAAUAGUAUUGUUUACAAUUUUAUAGGUAUUGGGUGUGAGUUAAAUUAUACCACUUAAAAUGAACAGAACAGACAGUAAAAAGUGAAGUAAGAAAAAAGGACAGAGGUAUCAUAAAAGAUACAAAUUCAGAGGUAUUGAAAUACUUAUGCAUCAAAACAACUAUGGCAAAAUUUUACUGAUUCAGUAUUAUGCCUAUGAAAAUUAUUCAGUUCAGUGAUUUGGAGAAGAGGGUAAAGAAAUGUUUACACAUCAGAAUCUGUGGAGGGGAGAAUGUGUGUCUGGAAAGAAAAUGGUAUUUUGUCUCAUUGGUUUGAUUUGUUUUUAGUUAUAAUAUUUCAUCUAUUUUGAAUUUUAUAAAAAUAACAGUAAUGUAUGUGAUUUUUAUGCUGAUGAAGAGAAAAUGGAUUCAAAAAGGUUAAGAAACACUAAUCCAAGGGAGCCUCCAGAAUAAUUGUGGCCAUCUGAAUUUGAACCUCCUCACAGAACCCUUAAAUUCAACAGGAGCACAAGAUAAUCACCCAUGGUCCAUGCCUUCAGCGUUAGUGGAAGAUGGAGGAUACCGCAAAUGUUAAGUGACCAAUAAGUAGAGAAACAAACACCAUAUUCCCAAUGAACUCCCAUCACUUAUACCCACUGUAAGCUGUGUGCAGAGAGUGGGAGAGAGAAGACUUAAAAUCCCCAGGAAAAAGAGGAAAGAGGCAGAGAAAACUUAGACAUAGCAUAAACAAAAUCACCUCCAGAAAGUAAAAGUUUCACUGCUAAGUGACACAUUCACAGCACAGUUAAAGGGAAGGGGAUUGAAAAUAAGCAGAACCAGAAGUAGCAGCUUCAAAGGAGCAUUGCUUCUUGGGGAGAAUCACAUAAACUAAGAAACAGUAGUGCUCCUUAGAGACUUGAUAGUGAUGAGAAAGAAGGAGCUAAGAGGGAAAAAUAGAGGAUCUUGCAGAAAUUAGAGAGAAAUAAGACAUAAUGGCCCACUAUCCCAUUACUACCCAUUUCUGCACUGCACUGACAGGAGAGGAUAUUCCUGAAUUAAGAACCUGUCCAAAAAAUUUUAAAAUAAAUUUUAAAAAGCAACCUAAUUCCAAAAAGAGCUACUAUUAGAAGAACACAUACACACACAAAUGCGAAUCAUUACAGUUUAACUGAUGAGAAUUCUUAACCAAAACCAACCAAAGAGCAGAAGAAAACUGUAACCCAACAUUCCAAACUGAAGUAGUUAUCUUCAAACAAUGGGACGUAUUUAGAAAAAAAAAAAAACCCAGAAACAGAAAUUUGAUAACUAAGGCCAUAGUGGGCACAAAAUAGGAAGACAUGCAAUGAGUUGAUUGAGCUAUGGAAUGAAAUUCAAGAAAAAUACAAAAUCAUUUCAAAAAUGAAGAAUAGAUUACAAGGUAGUGAGGGAUAGUAGAUUUGAACAUUGAACAAUUUCAACAUUGAAAAGGGGCAGUAAAAUAACGAAGGGAAUAAAGAAGGAUGUAAACAGGGUUAAACACAAGUGAUUGGAAUGGAGGAUGGGCAAAUAGGAUCCAACAUACAUAUGAUAGGAGCUCCUGGAGAAGAAAAACAAAGCAAUGGAAUGGAACUGUAAUUCAAGAAAACUUUCCAGAAAGAAGAGAAAAUAUAAUGAAUACUUGUCAUUGAAAUUAGGGCCCACCUGGAUAAUCCAUGAUGAUCUCAUCUCAAGAUCCUUAACUUAAUGACAUCUGCAGAGACUGGUUUAUCAAAUAAGGGACUGUGGCUAUAUCGCUGACCUCAAGAAAACCUGCGGACAAAAUCUGCUAAAGAAGUAUCAGCAUCUAUUUCAAAAGUUAGCCAUUAUUUUAAGAAGACUGUGCUGGAAGACGGGUAUUUAACACAAACAGAUGCAAAAGGUACAUUUACGUGUCACUGUGAAGCAGUGAUGGCUCCUUAUUUAAUCAGACAUCUGCUCUUCCAAGUGCAUUUUUUCUGCUUGCAAUAGUGGCUCCCAGGGAAGGGGUGGGGGUACUGAUGGGCCUGACGGUGGGUGGAAAAACCCAGGCCUUCUGUGUGCCAUGCAGCAAUGUUCAGCAAUGUAAAAAAUGAGGCCUUUUCCUAUUAAGGAAAUCAACCCAGGUAAGUCAGGUUUAUCUGAAAGUCUUUGUGCUGAGAGAGGGGUUACAUGUGGAGGAUUUCAUGGCCAGAAAUGAGAGGAAAGGGUUUCUAGCUGACCCAGUAGGCGGGGGUGGGGGGUGGUAUUCUUGUUUUCUUUUGGAAGGGACAGGGUCUCACUCUGUCACCCAGGCUGGAGUGCAGUGGCGCCAUCUCGACUCACUGCAACCUUCGCCUCCCAAGCUCAAGCAAUCCUUCGACCUCAGCCUCCAGAGUAGCUGGGAUUACAGAUGCACGCUACCAUGCCCGGUUAAUUUUUGUAUUUUUUGUAGAUACGGGGUUUCACCGUGUUGACCAGACUGAUUUUGAACUUCUGGGCUCAAUCAGUCCACCUGCCUCGGCCUCCCAAAGUGCUGAGAUUAUAGGUGUGAGCCCCUGCGCCUGGCCAGGGAUGCCGUUCUUCACUCUCCAGUUGGUUUCCCUCCAAGCUGGGAUUUGAACUCUCUUAUCUCCAGGGUUAGGGUUGCAGACGGAGUUGUAAGGACAGAAAGGGAAGAGGAAUACACACAUUUUUAGCUGACGGACUUGGCCCCAGCUUUGCAGGCUAACUGAAACUCCCAAGGCCUUGAGAUUUUUGAAAACUGCCAUAUUUCCUCUAGUUGAAGACUCAUUUUAUAUUUUUUCACAUGUUAACAUUUAUGAAAUUGGGAUGUGUAAUGUACGCCCUGUCAAAAAAUUUUCCAGCAGCCAUUUAGAGGAGUGACACGUCCACGUGGCCUACCUGGCCUGUGGCCACACCUCCUUAGCCAGCUUCGUGGAAGUAUCUGUUCAUCCAUUUUGUCACUUUGUUUUGUUAUUUUCAUUGGUGGCACAGCACACUGUUAACUUAGAUUCAUGUCCCUAAUUGCCACUGAAAGUGUCUUUCACAAAGAUAACUCUGCUUUACAGCAUUGGAGCAAAAGUCACCAUGCGUGCAAAAGAUUGCCUGGCACAUGCCAGGCAUUAGGCAUCGCCCCCACUGCACAGAGUAAAUGACACACUUUUCAAAGCAAGGGGAAAUUGGUAUGACUACUUCAUGCACCAUUAAAAAAAAAAACUAUUAUUCAGGCUCCAAAAUCUUUAAAAGCUUCUAGUGAUUUUCAAAAGAAGCUGCUUAAUGUUUAUCUUUAAAAUAAGGAAAAACAGAAUUAUAAGUUUGGCCAAAGAGGAAAUGCCAAUAAACCACUAGGAUUCUCUAUGAUGCCCUCAAAUUACAUUGUCAAUCUUAAGUGUGCUGACGAGGCCAAGCUCAUAAGCAUGGCCGGAAACUGGCAUUCUCCAUACCGCUGUGAGUAACUGUGGGUGUCCAAAAUCAUGUGGAAGAGUAUUUAGUCUCUGAUAAUGAAACAGGCCAGAGUUAAACUUUGGUAAUGAAAGCAGCAUAUAAUGGCAUGGAUAAGUGAAUUCUAAAGUCAUUUAAGAAGACACACAGUAAGAUGUGCCUCUCUCUCUCUCUCUCUCUCUCUCUCUUUCUCUGUCUCUUCCUUUCUUUUCCUCCCGUUUUUCUUUCUUUUUUUUUGGCGGGGGACAGAGUUUCAUUCUUGUUGCUCAGGCUGGAGUUCAAUGGCACGAUCUUGGCUCACCGCAACCUCUGCCUACUGGAUUCAAGUGAUUCUCCUGCCUCAGCCUCCCGAGUAGCUGGGAUUACAGGCAUGUGCCACCACGCCCGGCUAAUUUUGUAUUUUUAGUAGAGACGGGGUUUCUCCAUGUUGGUCAGCCUGGUCUUGAACUCUUGACCUCAGGUGAUCCACCUGCCUCAGCCUCCCAAAGUGCUGGGAUUACAGGCGUGAGCCACCGCGCCAGGCCCCUCCCUUCUUUGUUUCUAAUCUCUCUUCCUUCCUUCUUUUCUUUCUUUCUCCCACUGAAAUGCUGCUAUUAAAUUGAUAGAGUAUCUUAUAAUUGAUGGUAUCUUGGAAUUGGGGAAAUAGAGUGUUUGUCAGGCUGCUUGACUUAGCAGCUGAGGGUUGAAGGGAUGGAGAUAAUUUCAAAUCAGCGAGAUUACUGGAUUUCUUUUUAAAAGGUGCUGGUGAGAUAGAAUCACCAUAACAGAGUCAAGCGCAGAUAAAAAAGAUCAGCAAAGGCCAGAUUCCCUCAACUUAUUUUGAAUGGAUGGAGAAAUGGUGAAUCUUCGGUUUGUGAGUAUGACCAGUGGGUCAUAUGGGCAGAAAAGCAAGCGGCAGUCUCAAAAGCAGAGGGCAUUUAGAAUCCAAGGUUCAAGCUGGAAGAGAUCUUGGUCACCUCCUUGUUGAAUGCCUUAAUUGAAUGGAUGAGGAAAAUGGGCUCAUAUGGCAGAAAUAAUCUGUAGAGCUAGGACAGGAUCCUAGGUGUCCAGCCCCCUGUUCUAUGGAUUUUCAUUUGGAGAAGUCAGUCAUGUACCUGCCUCAGGGCCUUUGCACCUCUUUUCUCUUUGCCCAGAUCAUUCUUCCCCUAAAUAGCCACAUGGCUUUCUUCCUCAUCUCCUUCAAGUUUUUGCUUAAAUUUCAGUUUGUCAGUGAGGUCUUCUCUGACCAUUUAGACCAGAAUAUGCCAUCUUAAAAUAUGAGUAUGGAAGACAAGAAUAUGCCACCCCAAAAUAUGCUUCUUGGGCAUAAGGAUUAUUUUGAGCUGAUUAUUUUGAGAAACUGCAGACACAGGAGUUCUAAUCUGAAAACAGAUCCCUGUGCAGGGGAAAUCUAUACCUAUCACGGAAGUCUCUGCUUGUAAGAGUGUCUCCCUCUCAGUAUCAGGGCAAGAAGGAUGCGUGGAAGUCACUGGAGACUUUUGUCAAUGAAGCAGGUGCUGACUUAAUUCUCCAAAACAAACCUUACCCUUGUCUACCCUGAGUUUCCUGUUGACUUCCCCACAGCACUCCAACCAGCAAUGAAGGAGAUCUGAGGUCUCGGCAUCCUCAUUCACACCUGGUAUUGCCAGUUCUUUCUUUUUAAUGUUAGCCAUUCUCAUAGGUGUUUGUAUUUUCAACUUACACUUCCUUAAUUACUGAUGAUGUUGAUCUUUUCAUGUUUAAUAGGGUGGAAACAAAGUUAAACAGAUUUCUCUACGGCAGCAGGACUCAGAGCUUUUUUGAAUUGUCUGACGGGCAGAUUGCUGGGAAUUCUUUUUCUAUGGUCAAGUAAAGAUUACAAGGCUAGAAUUCCAGCGAAGCUAUUUUGGCAAAUACUGACCUACAUGAUUGAAGGGGUCCAGAAUAUGCCACCCCAAAAUAUGCCACUUUGACAUACGGCUUAUUUUGGGCUGCAAGCGAUUGAAAAUGAGCAGAUGCAGGAUGAAUCCUCUGCUCUCUUUUUCUACCUGAAACCAGGGCGUAACAUUCCCUUUGUGGAAGGUGUUCCUCGACUCCCAUAGCAGGAAGUGUAGAGCAACUCUUACCAUCAAAGAUGGACAGUCAGCAUUGAGAUGAGUCUGCAUAAACAAACUUUUUUUUUUAAAGUUUGUUCCAUUAAUCUCCCCCAUGUAUUUGCUAGUCACUUU